This 256-nucleotide ribosomal RNA is filed under the name uncultured bacterium. RNAcentral describes it as "partial 16S ribosomal RNA". It matches the Rfam family "Bacterial small subunit ribosomal RNA", at positions 524 to 776 of the family's 1533-position model. The record is from RNAcentral.
UACGGAGGGUGCGAGCGUUGUCCGGAAUCAUUGGGCGUAAAGGGUGCGCAGAUGGCUUGGUAAGUUAGCGGUGGGAAAUCGAGGCUCAACCUCGUGGAAGCCGGUAAUACUAUUAGGCUUGAGUGCAGGAGAGGUUAACGGAAUUCCAUGUGGAGCGGUAAAAUGUGUAGAUAUAUGGAAGAACAUCAAUAACGGCGAAGGCAGUUAACUAUUCUGCUACUGACAUUGAGGCACGAAAGCGUGGGGAGCAAAACGG